RNAcentral lists this ribosomal RNA (959 nucleotides) under uncultured organism. RNAcentral describes it as "bacterial SSU rRNA". It matches the Rfam family "Bacterial small subunit ribosomal RNA", at positions 133 to 1096 of the family's 1533-position model. The record is from RNAcentral.
UAACCGGAGAAUAGCCCGAAGAAAUUCGGAUUAAUACUCCAUAAAGUCAAUUUAAGGCAUCUUUUAUUGAUUAAAGCUCCGGCGGUUAGAGAUGGGCAUGCGUGUCAUUAGCUAGUUGGUGAGGUAACGGCUCACCAAGGCCACGAUGACUAGGGGGUCUGAGAGGAUGAUCCCCCACACUGGUACUGAGACACGGACCAGACUCCUACGGGAGGCAGCAGUGAGGAAUAUUGGGCAAUGGACGCAAGUCUGACCCAGCCAUGCCGCGUGCAGGAUGACUGCCCUAUGGGUUGUAAACUGCUUUUGUUUGGGAAGAAACCCCCGAUCGUGAUCGGGGCUGACGGUACCAUACGAAUAAGCAUCGGCUAACUCCGUGCCAGCAGCCGCGGUAAUACGGAGGAUGCAAGCGUUAUCCGGAUUCACUGGGUUUAAAGGGUGCGCAGGCGGAAUAUUAAGUCAGUGGUGAAAUCCUGCAGCUUAACUGUAGAACUGCCAUUGAUACUGAUAUUCUUGAAUAUAGUUGAGGUGGGCGGAAUGUGUAAUGUAGCGGUGAAAUGCUUAGAUAUUACACAGAACACCAAUUGCGAAGGCAGCUCACUAAACUAAUAUUGACGCUGAGGCACGAAAGCGUGGGUAGCAAACAGGAUUAGAUACCCUGGUAGUCCACGCUGUAAACUAUGAUCACUCGCUGUUGGCAAUACAUCGUCAGCGGCUGAGCGAAAGCAUUAAGUGAUCCACCUGGGGAGUACGGUCGCAAGAUUGAAACUCAAAGGAAUUGACGGGGGCCCGCACAAGCGGAGGAACAUGUGGUUUAAUUCGAUGAUACGCGAGGAACCUUACCUGGGCUUAAAUGCAGAGCGACGUCCGCCGAAAGGUGGAUUCCUUCGGGCGAUCUGCAAGGUGCUGCAUGGUUGUCGUCAGCUCGUGCCGUGAGGUGUCGGGUUAAGUCCCAUAACGAG